CACUAUAUGGACUGUACUAAAAACACUCAACCCACUGAUUCUGGUGAAAUCAUUUUGGAGUGACAAGGAUAGGCAGGGACUUUCCUGGGCUCAGGACUCUAGCCGGGGAGUGGCAAAAGCCACACUGCAACUCAACUCAGGAGAAAAUGCCUGGAAAUUUGAGCCAGCUGUUUUUUUCUUACUCACCAAAGUGCAUUGAGUCAACCCUUGAUCUUUUGUCAAUAUUUGCAGACCGAAAACACGACAAACCACCCCCUGUGCCGCCAGAGUGUAGACACGAAAUCCCCUGGGGUAAAACAGAAAUUUCAUAACUGGCUGUAGAGUUACUGUUUUUGCCUUUUGGAAGCUUCCACCUUGUGAUGGGAAGAGCACUGUCAGCCCAACACAGAAACUCUGCCGCCUGGAGUCACGUGGAUCCAGAUGCAAAGGGACUUGAAUGUCAUGCUAAAGAGUUUGGGUAAUAACAAUGAUAAAAUGCUACUUAUUGAGGUAGACGUGUUUAAUGUGUCUUCUUUCAUCCUGAAGGCUAAGAAUUUGUACAGCCAUGUUACAGAUUUGGAAAAUGAUGUGAAGAGAAGCUAAGAGAUUUGCCAUUGCCACUCAGCUGCCAAAGCCUCCAUCCUCCAGCCAUUGUCCGGCAAUUCGGGCAGAAUUCACUCCUGCUCAGAAGGUAGCCAUCCUGUGAGGAAGAAACCAGCCCAAGGAAGAUACUAACCUACAGAAGAAGGACGUGGCCAGAGUAAUCACAUAGACCCAGAGUUGGAGCCCUGACUGUACCACACCCCAAGCCUUCCCACCUUUCAACCUCUCAGUGAUGGUGAACCAAUAAAUCCUUUCUAUUGUUCAAGCCA
Molecule: non-coding RNA, 851 nt
Organism: Macaca mulatta (Rhesus monkey)
Lineage: Eukaryota; Metazoa; Chordata; Mammalia; Primates; Cercopithecidae
Source: RefSeq, a predicted model, not a curated record